This is a long non-coding RNA of Panicum virgatum (switchgrass), 4173 nucleotides long. RefSeq lists it as uncharacterized. The record is from RefSeq and is a predicted model, not a curated record. NCBI's taxonomy places the organism in Eukaryota, Viridiplantae, Streptophyta, Magnoliopsida, Poales, Poaceae. The transcript is spliced from 4 exons.
UGGAGCCCCCCCCUACCGCCACCACAGCCAUGGAGCCCCCCUGGGGCCCCUCCAUGAAAUUUUGGUACAACAUGCAAGCUCUAGGGGAGGCUGGAGGUUGAAGAAGUGCUGCAAUCGGCUGCUCACGAGUUGGGCCAAAGAAAAUAGUAUUGCAGCCCAGUAAGACCUCAAGCCCAAGGCCCAACCGUGGCAAAGAAAACCCUAUCUUGUUUCAGUCCUGCUUGUUUCCCAUCCAUCGGCUCGCAGCAGGCAGUCCGCAGGGGGCCAGGGGCGGCACACAGCAAUCCCGGCCAGGCGCGGCGAACGGGCAGGCUGCCCGCGUGCGGCACGCCUGCGCAGCUGCUCGCUCGCGGCCUCGCGCGCCGGCGCGCGGCACGCCUGCGCCGCUGCGCGGCAGCGUGGGUGCGCAGGGCGGCAGGACUGCAGGGCGCGGCCUGCACCCCCAGCUGCAGAGGAGGAAAGGACCUGCCGCUGCUGCACAGGUGCAGAGGCAGAGGGCCACGACCACCGCCCACCGCCCAGGUAAUUUGGUAAUUUAUAUGAUAGAUUUCAAAAAAGUGAAAACUUUUUGUGAGAAAAAUGAGAUUGAAGUGCCGGAUAUGGAUGAGGAAAUAAAUGUCAGAGGGACAUCUAGACGUAGGAAGCAAAAGGUAACAAACAUGCAUUACUAUCAUGUUGAGAUUUUUCUUGUCGCCAUUGAUGACAUCUUGACUAAGUUAAACCAUAUUUAGUGAAAUUAGUUCAGAGUUAUUAGUAUGUAUGGCUUGUUUUAACCCAAGAAACUCCUCUAAUUUCAAUGUGGAUAAACUCAUGAGACUUGCUGAAAUUUAUGCUGAGAAUUUUAAUAUUGGCGAGCUUGCUCUUUUGCCAAAUGAACAUAAAUCAUUCGUCAACCGUGCUAGAAGAACUCAAGAGUUCCUUGGAUGUUCUGAACUUGGAAAAGUUGCUGAAAUUAUGGUCAAGACUAAGAUGAACACAUCUUAUCGAUUGGUUUAUCAUCUCAUUGAGCUAACCUUGAUACUACCAGUGGCAACUGCUUCAGUAGAGAGGAUAUUUUCAGCCAUGUCCCUUAUAAAGAUAGAUUUGCGUAGUAAAAUGGGUGAUGAAUGGUUCAAUGACUUGAUGAUAUGCUACAAUGAGAAGGAGAUAUUUAGAAAGAUUGAAAAUGAAAAGAUCAAAAAGAGGUUUGAAGAGAUGAAAAACCGUCGUAUGUUAAUGCCUAAAAAUUGAUGAUUGCUUCUUCGGAUGAAUAAUGGGUGUCACCGUCAUGCGCGUCGUCUAUUAGUUUCGAACUUUGGCUUUUCGGUAUGGAUAAACUGCAAUUUUAUUUUUUCAUGAUGUAUUUUUAGAUUUUCAUCAGUCAUUGAUGUUUCAAUAUAAUACUGCUUCAAACUAUUAUAUUUCUCUUUUGUGGGGUGUCUUAAUGGAGCUACAAGUUGUUGUAGCGUGUUUUUCAGCCCCUCCUAAAUUUUUUUCUGGAUCCACCACUGUCUCCAGUGAUACAAUAAUACGAGUUUAGGGUCUAAGUUUACUCGAGGGUGUUAUACAGUUCCAAAAUCAUUAAUUUGUAGAGCCAGGUCUGUGAAUUUGUUAAACACUUAACUCAGGUCCAAACAUCUUUAUUUGCACUUGAUCUUCCUACAUGGCAUUUGUGUUGCCCAAAAAUUUCAUUUUUAUGGCAAAAUAGAUGUUUCGAUUCCUUAACUUUGUCUCGAGGAUCAAAUUCGUCCUCUAACUUUUGAAAUAGCCAAUCUAGUCCCUCAGCUUUCAUUAUGGGUUAAAAUUGUUCUCACACUUACAAAGCGCUCCAUGUUGGAACGACACUAAUAUGAAAAGUUAUUUUUGCCCUUGCCUUCUUCCUCUCCUCAAAUUCCGAAAUCACCGUUUGUGCUGGACCAACUGAUGGAGCAGAUCAAGAUUUCCUACCAAAUCCAAGAAGCUAGCUCUCUGCUCCUCCUUGCUCGAGUAGAGCAGCAAGAGUGCUUCCUCUCUUUUAUCCGUUUCUAGCACAGUAGCACUCUCAAGCCAGCGAACUAUCAAUGCAGCUGGCGUAGCUAGGAUUUUCCUAUGGGGUAUGCCAAACCAAAAUUUUUAUAUGCUAACCAGCAAAAUCCAUUUAGCAAUUCGGUAGAAAUUUCAUAAAAUUAUCCAAUAAUUCGGCAUACAACUAUUAAAUGGCAUAAUAAGUCUACAUAAUACAUGAAUGAGUAAUCGACCAAUCUUACUAUUACUAAUUGGAGGCUCCUUUCAAGCUUCCACAGGAAGCCACAUAGGAUCCUAAGUGGACACUCUACAAAAAUAGAGAAAUUCUAGAAAUUCUCAUAAAAAUCAGAAACAUCCGGCCAUCAAUCCGACAACUCUAAUUAUAACAGUCAUUGAAUCUGUUAUCUUUCCUAACAAUUACCCACCUCUGCCAUUAUGAAUAUAGACUAAAGUAACCCCCCUAAUUUUCGUGUAAAUUACCCACAUUUGCCAUUAUAAAAAAUAAUACAAAUAAUCUCCUAAUUUGUCUAUAAAUUAUCCAAUUAUAUUAAUCUCCUCGGAUAUCUUGCAGAAGCAAUUUUCUCAAGCACUCUAUUGACGUGGAUGGAGUGCGAGAAAUAUUCUCAUACGUACGCUCUGAUGUGGCGAAAUACCCAAAUGGCGUUUGCUUGCCAACAUUAGCCACCAGCGUCCUUGAACUUGGGCCUUUUUUCAAUGAUUUCUUUUGCCGUUGGAAUUUAGACCAAUAAUCUUUAACAACCAGAGUGAUAUUUGCGAGUGACGCAUCGACCGCUAGGCUGGGCUUUAUUAAAGUGCACCAAUAUAAAAUUCUAAUUACUAUUCCUAUCAUUAUUAAUAAUAUUAUUUAUGUUAUUAUUUACUACCCAUCAUAUGUGUUACCAUAUGUUCAUGUAUGAUGAAAAAGAUAAGAAUACUAAUUCACAAACAAAUGAUUCAAUUAAAUAUAUAUCAAACAUACAUGCAUGGAGGUGUGAUGCGAAAUAAAAUCUAUUGCAACUAGAUAAUGAUAAAUAUGUAUUUAGAGCAUAUGUUAGAAUAUUUAAUAGAUGAAAGAGGGAAAGAUAAAUAAUUAUAGUUAUUAGCUAUAAGCUCUAUUUUUAGUAGGUAGUUAUACCCGUGCGUUGCUCUGGACAAAGCUGCGAUAAGUAUCAGAUAUGUAUAGUUGCCCGUGUGUUAAUUUGUAGAAAUCUACAUGAUCAAAUCUUGAACUGAGUGGGCUGGUCCUACUCGCAUACGAGAUGGACUAAGGCCCUCCUAUCAAUAACACGAGACGGACCAAACCAAAAAUUGAGGUAGAAACCUUACUCGCUUUAGAAAUAGGUAUAACUAUAGGCAAAUUUGACCAUGCAUUGCUAAGGACAAAGUUGGUAUAAGUAUCGGAGACAUACAGUUGCCCGUAUAUUAUUUUAUAUAGGGAUACAUGUGAUCGAGUCAUGGAUAGAGAGUUUUGGUCCGACUCGCAUACAGGUAUCAACGACAUAAGACGGAUCAAAUUAAAAAUUUAGAUAAAACUUUUAUUCGCUUUAAAGAUCAUUAUAGAUUCAUUCUAAUUAUUAACCCAUGCAUGAGCACGGGUUGAUAGGCUAGUGUAAUACAAUCCUAAUUUCUACUGCAUACAUCUACUACCUACAUCAAUUGAACUAAAUCAUGCUAAAAUCUAACAACAAAACUAGCUAACAAAUUAUGUUGCAGUAAAGAAAAGUUAGGAUUAGAGAUUUAGAGAAAAUUUGUGGAGAGAAUGGAGGGGAAAAAGCUCUCACCAUGUCCGGAGGUGGGAGGUGGCCUGGUGCCAGGCGGAAGCGAGGAACCGAGGCGGCGCGGCAAGUUAGGAUAUCAAACAAGCCUUACCAAAAAAAUCAUUGUCAUGGAUCUACGCCCUCUUUUGUCAAUCUUUGGCCUGGCAAAUGGGACCUCCAUGUCGGUCUGAUCUUGGAAUUUACGUGAUCGAGUCGUGGACGGAGGGAUGGUCCGACUCGCAUACGUGAUGGACUAAGGCCCACCCGUCAAUAAUGCAAGACGGAUCAAACCAAAAACUUAGGUGGAAACCUUACUUACUUUAGAAACACUAGACAAUUAUGCCCGUGUGUUGCUACGAAUAGAGUUGAUAUAAGUAUCGGAUAUGUAUAAUUGUUUUUUUGUUAAUUUGUAAGGAUCUACAUGAUCGAGUCA